RNAcentral lists this ribosomal RNA (460 nucleotides) under uncultured bacterium. RNAcentral's name for it is "partial 16S ribosomal RNA". It matches the Rfam family "Bacterial small subunit ribosomal RNA", at positions 338 to 795 of the family's 1533-position model. The record is from RNAcentral.
CCUACGGGUGGCAGCAGUGAGGAAUAUUGGUCAAUGGACGCAAGUCUGAACCAGCCAUGCCGCGUGCAGGAAGACGGCUCUAUGAGUUGUAAACUGCUUUUGUACGAGGGUAAACGCAGAUACGCGUAUCUGUCUGAAAGUAUCGUACGAAUAAGGAUCGGCUAACUCCGGGCCAGCAGCCGCGGUAAUACGGAGGUUUCAAGCGUUAUCCGGAUUUAUUGGGUUUAAAGGGUGCGUAGGCGGUCGGAUAAGUUAGAGGUGAAAUCCCGAGGCUCAACUUCGGAAUUGCCUCUGAUACUGUUCGGCGAGAGAGUAGUUGCGGUAGGCGGAAUGUAUGGUGUAGCGGUGAAAUGCUUAGAGAUCAUACAGAACACCGGUUGCGAAGGCAGCUUACCAGGCUACUUCUGACGUUGAGGCACGAAAGCGUGGGGAGCAAACAGGAUUAGAUACCCGGGUAGUC